Long non-coding RNA from Acinonyx jubatus (cheetah), 7917 nucleotides. RefSeq lists it as uncharacterized. The transcript is spliced from 3 exons. Lineage: Eukaryota; Metazoa; Chordata; Mammalia; Carnivora; Felidae. The record is from RefSeq and is a predicted model, not a curated record.
UUAUAAGUGGUCACUCUUUGUCAUUUGUAAGUUGUUUGCUCUGCAGCACAGAUACUUUAAGAUUCUGAAUCUCAGACUGAUAGGAUCCUGUCCCUGAAAAGAUGGAUGGGGACACAGGCCCCAGGGAAGUGACUAGAUCAAGGUCACACAGGGAACCGUGGCAGAGCUGGAGCUCAAACAUGGGUGUCUGACGUCUAAUCUAGGCCUCUUACUCUUGUGUCACUGCUAAAUCAGAUUAUUAUUUUAAACAGGACGUUGGUGAUCACCUGGUCAGACUCCCUCCCACACUGGGAGGAAGUGAGGCCCAGAGAAGUUUGAUGAGCAGACAGUAUGGAAAUCAGGAGAGCAGGAGUUUCUCCGACCAAUGUACAGAUGAGCUAAACUCCAGGUGCUCUGCACAGGUCCUACACAGAGUUGGUGCUCGAUAAAUGAACGCGCCAUGAAAGAAUUGAGUCAGCGGAGAGGGGAAGUUCUGGAAGAGGAGGUGAUUGAUGGUCCUUAAUCCUGGAAACCUCUUUAACAAAGAAAAUACUUCAUCAUGUGAUGUGGAAACUGAGUCCGAGAAGAGAGGUUGGGACUUGCCUAAGAUCAUUGAUUUAUGCUAGCACAAACUCCAGUGGCAGUCUUCAGACCUGAGGGGGGUGCUUAUAGGAACACCCCUUCCCUAAGGGGGCAGGACCAGAAGAAAUGGCUUUGAAUUGCGAACAAAAGGAUCCAGGUGAGAUAUAAGGAAGAAUUCCAGCUGUAAGAAUGGGUAACAUAAGAAGACUGGAACCACCUUCUCUGGGAUGGGAUGAGAUCCCCUCUAGGGGGUUGCCUGAAAUGAUCUCAGCACUGCAUCUCCCAGGGGCACCGCUCUCACAUCAGUCCUUUUCUUUGGGAGUCCAAGGGAUUCAAGAUCCCUCUCCCAGAGACCGGCGCCAUGGCUGGUGGCUGGGGGAACUUGAGAGGCCAGUCCUGGAACAGGUGCAACAGCUGGAACAACUGCGCAGCUGUUACCCAGCUCCUGCUCAGCAGCCAGCUAGCCAGUGAGUGAGACAGAGACCUCUACUGGUGGGAGUGAGGAAGUGCAGAACCACCUAGACCGACCCAGAGAGGGGCCUGCCUGGAGCCAGAUGUCAAGCCUUCACUCAGGUGUCCCCCUCCCCCGUGUAAAUCUGGACAGGUAGAUGGGGAUGCAACUAAGCUGAAAAGCAGGGCAGGGUCCCUGCCGGUGGGUCCCCCUACACACCCACUGUUCUAGGCCUCCUAAGUACUGGAGGGGCCACUCCUGGUGUCUGAGGAUCUAUUGACUCCUCCCUAGCAGGACAGGAGUACAAGGCUGCAGACCUAAACACCCUGACUUCCUUUCCCGAAGCCCAGAACAGACUCAGAAUCAAGGCAACAGCAUCUUUGGAUCUUAGAGUCUUAGAAUCAUGGGAUAUUAAAGCCAGAAGUGUCCUCAGUGAUUGUCUCUUGGGGUCAACCAUCUCUCUUUACCGCUGGGAAAACUGAGGGGGGGAGAGAAAGGCAACUUGUCUGGUGUCUGCGUGGCUGGAAUUAGUAGCAGAGCCAGACUGAGGCCCUGACCUUCUGAUUCCAAGUUUGUCCUCUGUACUACUUCAUAUGAUGGGAGCUCCCUUCCUGCCCUAUCUCUGCUUCUGCAGUCUGGGAUUCUGUCACUUGGGAACAGAAGCCUCAAUUCCCACAGUUCACAUCACCUUUGGAGAGAGGCUAGAGCAAUUGACGGUUUUACCUGAUAACUGACUGUCUCUUGAAAGCAGGACUGGACAGCGGGAGGGAAGAGAAAGCAGAAGCGAGCCGGAUACCUUACGGGCAGGAGGGGGGUGGCAAUAGUAAGGGAGGAGCACAAGGAAGAGGCACUGACAUAGGGGGAAGAGUACCGGAGAGGGAGUCAAGAUACUAGGCCGGUUCUCAUUCCACAGAGAAAUGGAUACCCAAACUGACUAACAUCAUACAUGUAUGUGUCUUCACCUGGGGCUGGGGUCAGUACCAGUCAGUGACCAGGUCACAGACCUGGAAUCGGGGUUAAGUCCGUGGUCAGGGCUUUGAGGAUCAGGGCUCAGCCUGUGGCCAGAGUUGAGACUCAGUCCGGGUUGAAUUCAAUCUGUGGCUGGAAACGGAGCCAAGGACAGAAUAACCUUUGUUUGAAUAGCCUUUUUGCACUGUAACUGAGGAGCAAACUGCCAUGUGUGUUCACAGGCCUUUGGCAUUCCGCAGGGCUGAGCCACCUCAGGAGUCUGACAUGACACAGACUUGAGAAUUCCCAUCCGUUGGUAUCACUUCUGAAAGCACCUAAGGUGUCACCAGGAGAUUUCUUAUGUACAACGGGCCUUAGAUCUUACUUGAACUAAGACAAGGACCAUCACAAGACACCUCCAAAUAGGACUCUGGCAAAUGACUAUAGAAUAGGAUUGUUCCAGGGCGCCUGGGUGGCUCAGUCGGUUGAGCCUCCGACUUCAGCUCAGGUCACGAUCUCACGGUCCGUGAGUUUGAGCCCCGCGUCGGGCUCUGGGCUGGUGGCUCAGAGCCUGGAGUCUGCUUCCGAUUCUGUGUCUCCCUCUCUCUCUCUGCCCCUCCCCCGUUCAUGUUCUGUCUCUCUCUGUCUCAAAAAUAAAUAAACGUUAAAAAAAAAAAAAAAAGAAUAGGAUUGUUCCUAGAUUCAUAGAUUGUCAGCACUAGACAAAGUGAGGCUCCGAGCAGGGAAGUGAUCUGUUCAAAUUCACACAACCCAUAAGCAACAAAUCUAUUCUUUAAUAAAUUUGCUGUGUGAACUUGGGCAAGUCACUCCCACUUUCUGGGCUUCAGUUUAACUAUAGGAAAAUUGGGGGGGCGGGUAGAAGCAGACGAUUUUCUAAAUUUUUUUUAAUGUUUAUUUAUUUUGAGAGAGAGACAGAGCAUGAGCAGGAGAGGGGCAGAGAGAGAGGGAGACACAGAAUCCGAAGCAGGCUCCAGGCUCCGAGCUGUCAGCACAGAGUCCAACGUGAGGCUCAAACUCACAAAAUGUGAGACCAUGACCUGAGCUGAAGUCGGGUGCUCAACCGACUGAGCCGCCCAGGUGCCCCAGAAGCAGGUGAUAUUCAAAGGCUCUUUCAGCUCUGACAUCCCAGAAUCUGAACAUACCCCUCUGAAUGCCAGUCCACCUCACUUUAACUCAAGUCUGCUCUGAGUUGUUUUCUUGUGUGUCUGUCGCUAAGACACUGCCUGAAGGCCAGUGGAGGCACAGAGGAAGGAGAGCAGAGUGGAUCAGGUGGCCAGGGAAAGUUUGCUGGAAGAAGUUUGACCUGGCAAGGUGGUGAAGGCCUGACAAGAUAUGGGAGGCCAAGAGCAGGGGUGUGGGUAGGACAAGAGCAAUCCUGCACAACGAUCUGAUUCUAGGACAUCUUUCCAAGAUGCAUCAGGGGCAAUGGUACCCGGAGAAACACCUUGGGAGCUAAGAACGAUGUGCCAAGAGGAAGGGAGGCAGGCAUUAAGGGCAUUCUGUACUAAGUCCCUUUUAAGAAACAACAGGUAAGUGUUAGGAGGAAACCUCCAGGGCCCAAGGAAGGGGAGGAGGAAUUUACUGAGUACUAGGCAUUGUGCUGGCUGACUGAACACAGUCACUUCCCUUAAUCCUCCCAAGAACUGUUUGGGUUCCAGGUAAGUAUGUGUCUUAGGUGAUGAAAUCGAGGCUCAGAGAAGUUGUGACUUAUGAGAAGUCACACAGCCGCUAAGGGGCAGAGGCAGGACUUGAACCCAACAGAGUUCCUUCCAUUACUUGUUACUAAGGACUUCUAUGAGUCUCAUGCUAAGGGCAGCCCAGAGACGACCAGACUUGCAGCCUGCCCUUACAAGCAGAGACAAGAAUGAAACAAAAUCCAGCACUGCCAGCUCAGGAAAGUCGUGUGCCAAAGAAAGGCAGCAAUGGGGGAGUGGAGCUGUGGGGAGGGCAGAGCGCUAGGCGGGGAGUUGGGAACCUGGGGUCUUCAUCCGAGGCUCUGCGCUGUGUAACCUGGAGCAAACCACUGCCCCUCCUUGUCCUCAGUUUCUUUAUCAGGUAUUUCAGGGUUUGAACUAAACUCCUUCCUUCUCAUCAAGAGAAUCUUGGUUUUGUUUUCCAUCCUCACAGUAUUCUAAGAGACUGGGGAUGGAGAGGAGGUCCAGGAGCCUCUGGCAGAGGCAGUGAGGGAACUGAGCUGCAGAGAGAUUAUAUAAACUGUUUGAGGUUACACUAAGUGGAGAAGCAUGAAUUCGGGAACUGAUUUUUUUUUUUAAGACGCUACCAUGUACCAGCUAGUUGCUUUAUUAUAUUUUCUCUGAUUUAAUUCUCACAACAGUCCUGGGAUUUUUGACUCCCAUUUUAUAGAUUGGGAAACUGAGGCUUAGAGAGGUGCCCUCCAUCAGCUGGUAUUCAGAAGAUCUGGGAUAGUGAAGACUGGUCUAUCUCCCUGUGCCCUGCUGCCUCCCAGGGUCUUACAGCUCCAAAUCAGGGUUCCUUCCAGAUGCUUUGCUGUGCAGCAGGGGGAAAAGCAUAGGAUUUGGAAUUGGAGAGCUCUGGCGUUGGAUGGCUUACUAGCUCUGUAAACUUCAGCAAGUUUCUUCUGUUACCCUAAGUUUUCUCAUCUGUAAAAUGCAAAUGAUAGUACCCACCUCUUGGGAGUCACGUGAGGAUCACAACGGAUAACAGAAUGAGGUUACCUAGCGAGCUCUUCUUUCUUUGCACCGGCUCCCUUUGAAUACAAUAGUCUUUACAUCUCCAUCACCUUCUUCACACCCUUGCAGCCAAACAUACCCUGCUCUCUGCUGAGAAUAUGAAGCACCACCACCAGCCUACACACAUGCGCACAGUGUCCUGCCUUCUCUCCCACUGCCCUCAGUCCCCCUCUCCUCAGGUCCCUGGCAGCAGCCCCCCUGGCCCUGAGUUUUGCCAAGUUCCCCCCAGUAUCCCAGACUCAUCAGCCCAUACUGGUCGGCAGAGGAGUCUCCACUCUCCCCGCACAGGUGCUGGCUGGAAGGCUGCCAGAACAGUAUGGGGUCCCAAGUCCUGGCACUUUCCCUGCACAUCCCAGGGGCUCGCAUCCCUCCUCUGCUUAUCCAGCCCUCCCCUCCCCUACUUACGGGCUCCGGCGUGAGAAUCCAAGGGGAACCAGAGCAGCGCGAGUCCCAGCAAGGAGGAGAGGACCCUUACCUCGGGAACCAUCCUUCCUUCCCCCGGGGCCAGGCCGCCAGGCGCUGAGCCAGGAGGGGCGUCGGGAGAAACUGAGAUGAGGACACUGAGGCACAGGGGCACAAAAGCAACCAGGGGGGGGGGGGGGGCUGCUGCUACAGUGGAGAGUCAGAGAAGGGUCGAGUAGGCGGUGAGAACAGAAAGAGAGGUCCAAGGUGGGAAUAAGAGGAAGGUAGAAAGAGGACAAGGGAAAAGGAAAGACAGAGAGAUGGAGAGAUGGAGGAAGGUACGGCAAGAAGGGAAAGCAAUAAAAGCAAAGGAGAAGGUGAGAGGGAGGGGAGGAGGAGAAAGACGGGGAGGACAGGGGUCUGCAGAGCGCGCAGCGUUGGGCGAGGCGCGCGGGAGCAGCGGGCGAUUCCCGGCGCGCGGGCUAGAAUCGGCCGGCGCCCCCUGCUCGGUGGGCUCGGGGUCGGGCUGCGGGGUCCUGGGGCCCGGCGGGGCGGCGGUACCGGCGGCGGCGGCGGCGACGGCGCGGCUGCCACGGGGGCUGGCUGAGCGCGGGCCGGCUGUGCACGCCAAGGGCGCCAGGCGCCGCGCUCGGGCGCAUUUGUACUUUGCCGCGGGAAGCAGGCAGCCCCGGCCUGGCGCUGGCCUAGCGCUGGCGCCUCCUCUGGGGCACCGCGGGCUCGGUGGAUUGGCCACCCGAGAAACAGGCCCACUUUACCCCUCCUCUCUGGUGCGGGUCUCUGGGACGCACGCUCCAGGCGCGGCGCCGAGAGGAGGCGAGAGGGCUGGGGAGGGGGAAGGGGCCACCCGGGCCACGGGCUUUAACCCCUGACUCCCCGCGGCGCCCAGAGAGCAGGAGGACGCAACCCAGUUAGGCUUCAGGUGAAACUUGGGGGCUGGGAAGGAUGAGAUGCUCGGGUGGGAGAGGCGAAGCGAGCUGCGGGACCCGCGAGGCGCUCAGGGUAGGGCUCUGGGCGGUGCGUGCACAUCACUCUCGAUGGAGUCAGGCAGGACACUUGCCAUUCUUAAUUCUGUUUGUGGUCUUGGACACGCCAUCUCAGGAUCUAAAAUGCGGAUCUUAAUAUCUCCCCACUUCUUUUUGCGAAGAUGAAAUGAGGUAAUGAACGUCAAAGUACUCACAUCUCAAAAAGAAGGGGUCGUAAUCCCAUGCACCUAGAAUACCCUUACCAGUUCCCCUUCCUACCCACACGCUAGGUGCCUAGGUUGAAAUCCAUUCCAGCUGGAUUCUUGGCCCUUCCUCUGGAAGUCUUUCUCUACCUUUCCCCCUCCCACUCCCAAAGGAGGACAUGGUCUCUCCUUUGUCUCUGCAGGUAAGGCUCCCACCUCUCUGAGAGUGAUGACCGCGUUCAUUCCUCUUCAGUGAGAGCUGAUUGUCAGUCACCUUUCCCACCAACGUGAGCUCCCUGUGGGUGCCGCCCUGAAACCCAUGAUUAAUGCUCCAUACCGUGUGUGGAAUGAGUGCAUGAAUUAGUAGGACGCUUGAGCUUUCCAGAUAAGAAACACCCAGGCUCUGAAAUCCAAAGCCUGGGUCUCUCCCGGCUCUCUCCCUAGCUUGCUGGGCCAUUUUGGUGAAGUUCAUCCAUCCUGCUUUGGAUCUCAGCUUCCUGCCCAGCUUCUCUUGCAGAGCUACUGGAAAGCCCAGUGAGCACCCAGAAGAGUGAGAGGUGAGAUGGGAGGCCAAGCCACAUCCCACUCUGGUAGAGAAUCAUUUCUAGCUCUGCACACUUCUGGAAAGAUAGCUUCCCGUGAUAAGGCUGGGCUCCCCAUUCCCAAGUGCUGCCAGGCCAUCCCCUCCAGAACAGAGAGCAGGGGGGAGGAACCAGUGAUCUCAGAGACAGAACUUCCCCGGGGCUCUCCGAAUCAGGGACAAGCAUGAUCUGCCCCAAAGGUGCCCUUCAGGCUUAAUUUCUCCCACUCCAAUCCGGCCAGUCUCUUUCUCUCCCUUGAGUAUACCUUAUUUUAACAGAUAAUGAGAGCUAUGCGUGUCAUCGUGCUUCCCUUUUUGCCUUGCCUUUCAGGAAGCGCAGUUAAAUUUAGUGCUUAAUUGCAGAAAUAGUCUCAUCCCAAGUUUCUGAGUCAGAGAUCUUUUCCUUUCUCCAUCUUUGUUUAUUUAUUUUUAGAUGUUUAUUUAUUUUGAGAGUGUGCAUGGGGAAGGGGCAGAGAGAGAGAGGGAGGGAGAGAGAAUCCCAAGCAGGCUCUGUGCUGUCAGCCCAGAGCCUGACGCAGGGCUUGAUCUCACAAGCUAUGAGAUCAUAACCUGAGCUGAAAUCAAGAGUCAGACACUUAAGCGACUGAGCCACCCAGGUGCCCCUCUCCAUCUUUAUUUAAAGUCUGCUAUACAUAUAUAUCCGUGUCUUAGUUGUAAGAGACGAAUUAAGAUUGGCCUGUCCUAUAUCCUGCCCAUUUUACUUCAGGAAAGGUCUCUACCAUGAAACCCCAAAAUGUCUCAAUCCUUCUCUCCAUCCUCACUGCUCCCAGAGUUGGGGCCAUUGUCAUCCCUUACCGGGAUUUUGCCAACAGCUUCUAAGCAAGGCUGCCACCCCUAACCUGGGCCCCUUCAAUUUAUGUUCCUCCCAUGUGCCCUAAGAAUUAUUCUGAUUAUUUCGACUGACAAAUCUGAUCACAUCACUUUCCCCUUAAAAUCCAUGAUUGGAAAUAGAUAAAUAUAUAACAUUAAAUGCAAUGUGGUACCCUGGAUUGGAUUCUGGGACAGUAAAAGGACAUUAGUGGAAAAACUGGUGAAC